GACUACUGGGGUAUCUAAUCCUGUUUGAUCCCCACACUUUCGUGCCUCAGCGUCAAUAUUGGCUUUGUGAGCUGCCUUCGCAAUCGAUAUUCUGUGUGAUCUCUAUGCAUUUCACCGCUACACCACACAUUCCGCCCACAGCAACCAAAUCCUAGCUUCACAGUAUCAACGGCGCUUUUACAGUUAAGCUGCAAAAUUUCACCGCUGACUUACAAAGCCGCCUACGCACCCUUUAAACCCAAUAAAUCCGGAUAACGCUCGCAUCCUCCGUAUUACCGCGGCUGCUGGCACGGAGUUAGCCGAUGCUUAUUCAUACGGUACUCUCAUCAAUCUAUGCAUAGACCUUAUUGCUCCCGUAUAAAAGCAGUUUACAACCCAUAGGGCCGUCUUCCUGCACGCGGCAUGGCUGGAUCAGAUUUCCAUCCAUUGUCCAAUAUUCCUCACUGCAGCCCCCCGUAGG
This 460-nucleotide ribosomal RNA is filed under the name uncultured Bacteroidota bacterium. Its description in RNAcentral is "uncultured Bacteroidetes bacterium partial 16S ribosomal RNA". Lineage: Bacteria; Pseudomonadati; Bacteroidota. The record is from RNAcentral.